GCAGUCCUACGGGGCGCAGCAGUGAGGAAUAUUGGUCAAUGGGCUUACGCCUGAACCAGCCAAGUCGCGUGAGGGAAGACUGCCCUAUGGGUUGUAAACCUCUUUUGUCAGGGAGCAACGCCGGCUACGUGUAGCCGGACUGAGAGUACCUGAAGAAAAAGCAUCGGCUAACUCCGUGCCAGCAGCCGCGGUAAUACGGAGGAUGCGAGCGUUAUCCGGUUUUAUUGGGUUUAAAGGGUGCGCAGGCGGGAGAUCAAG
RNAcentral lists this ribosomal RNA (258 nucleotides) under uncultured bacterium. RNAcentral describes it as "partial 16S ribosomal RNA". It matches the Rfam family "Bacterial small subunit ribosomal RNA", at positions 333 to 587 of the family's 1533-position model. The record is from RNAcentral.